RNAcentral lists this unclassified non-coding RNA (332 nucleotides) under soil metagenome. RNAcentral describes it as "partial contains 5.8S ribosomal RNA, internal transcribed spacer 2, and large subunit ribosomal RNA". The stretch from base 1 to 120 matches the Rfam family "5.8S ribosomal RNA", at positions 35 to 154 of the family's 154-position model. The record is from RNAcentral.
GAUGAAGAACGCAGCGAAAUGCGAUAAGUAAUGUGAAUUGCAGAUUUCAGUGAAUCAUCGAAUCUUUGAACGCACAUUGCGCCCUUUGGUAUUCCUUAGGGCAUGCCUGUUCGAGCGUCAUUUAAACCUUCAAGCUAAGCUUGGUGUUGGGUGACUGUCCGCUUCACGGCGGACUCGCCUCAAAAUUAUUGGCGGCCGGUACAUUGGCUUCGAGCGCAGCAGAAACGCGAACUCGGGCCCGUCGUAUUGGCUCCCAGAAGCUAUCUUCACAAUUUUGACCUCGGAUCAGGUAGGGAUACCCGCUGAACUUAAGCAUAUCAAUAAGCGGAGGA